This 204-nucleotide long non-coding RNA is filed under the name Lathyrus oleraceus (garden pea). Its description in RNAcentral is "Pisum sativum (pea) long non-coding RNA (PSAT_LNC035734)". The record is from RNAcentral. Lineage: Eukaryota; Viridiplantae; Streptophyta; Magnoliopsida; Fabales; Fabaceae.
AAAAGGUAGGCUGAGCUUCAGACCCUUGUGCGGACAGUAGAGGAUGCAUUUAUGAUCUAUGUUAACAUAGUCAAAAGAGUUGGAUGAUGGAUGGUGGUGGAUGCAUCCCAGAAUUAUCUUAAGCCACACCCUCAAAUUCUUGUGGAGCUCUUGAUUCUUAGAGGAUGUUCAUCCUUCGGGGUUUUGGGAGAAGAUGGUGGGGAU